GACGAACGCUGGCGGCGUGCUUAACACAUGCAAGUCGAACGGAAAGGCCCUGCUUUUGUGGGGUGCUCGAGUGGCGAACGGGUGAGUAACACGUGAGUAACCUGCCCUUGACUUUGGGAUAACUUCAGGAAACUGGGGCUAAUACCGGAUAGGAGCUCCUGCUGCAUGGUGGGGGUUGGAAAGUUUCGGCGGUUGGGGAUGGACUCGCGGCUUAUCAGAUUGUUGGUGGGGUAGUGGCUUACCAAGGCUUUGACGGGUAGCCGGCCUGAGAGGGUGACCUGCCAAGUUAGGACUGGAAUGCGGCACAGACUCCUCCAGGAGGCAGCAGUGGAGUAUAGUAUACAAUGGACGGAACGCUGAUGCGGCAACGCCGCGUGCGGGAUGACAGCCUUCGGGUUGUGAACCGCUUUCGCCUGAGACGAAGCGUGAGUGACGGUAAUGGGUAAAGAAGCACCGGCUAACUACGUG
RNAcentral lists this ribosomal RNA (468 nucleotides) under uncultured bacterium. RNAcentral describes it as "partial 16S ribosomal RNA". It matches the Rfam family "Bacterial small subunit ribosomal RNA", at positions 28 to 507 of the family's 1533-position model. The record is from RNAcentral.